AUAGUCCACCUGUAAAACCACCACCGGUGCAAAAGCCUCCGACUCCAACUUAUAGCCCUCCAGUCAAGCCACCUCCCGUUCAAAAACCACCAACACCAAUUUAUAGUCCACCUAUUAAACCACCACCAGUGCAAAAACCUCCGACACCUAUUUAUAGUCCACCAGUUAAACCACCUCCGGUGAAACCUCCAACACCUACUUACAGUCCUCCUAUAAAACCACCACCGGUACAACAACCUCCGACACCAACCUAUAGUCCACCUGUUAAACCACCUCCAGUUAAACCUCCGACACCAACUUACAGUCCGCCUGUCAAACCACCACCUGUGCAAAAACCUCCUACACCUACUUAUAGUCCACCAGUUAAACCACCACCUGUGAAACCUCCAACACCUAUUUAUAGUCCUCCUGUAAAACCACCACCAGUGCAAAAGCCGCCAACACCAACUUACAGUCCUCCUAUCAAACCACCACCCGUGCACAAGCCUCCCCAUAUCAAACCACCACCCGUACAUAAGCCUCCCCAUAUCAGACCACCGCCAGUCCAAAAACCUCCCCAUAUCAAACCACCACCCGUGCAAAAGCCUCCUCAUAUCAAACCACCGCCAGUCCAAAAGCCUCCAACACCAAUUUACAGUCCUCCUAUCAAACCCCCACCUGUGCAAAAGCCU
This 671-nucleotide long non-coding RNA is filed under the name Brassica rapa (field mustard). Its description in RNAcentral is "long non-coding RNA (BRAP_LNC002998)". Lineage: Eukaryota; Viridiplantae; Streptophyta; Magnoliopsida; Brassicales; Brassicaceae. The record is from RNAcentral.